GGGCCCGUAGUCUAGCCUGGUUAGGACGCCGCCCUUACACGGCGGAGGUCCGGGGUUCAAGUCCCCGCGGGCCCACCA
RNAcentral lists this transfer RNA (78 nucleotides) under Desulfurococcales archaeon. RNAcentral describes it as "tRNA-Val". It matches the Rfam family "tRNA". Rfam says of the family: Transfer RNA (tRNA) molecules are approximately 80 nucleotides in length. Lineage: Archaea; Thermoproteati; Thermoproteota; Thermoprotei; Desulfurococcales. The record is from RNAcentral.